Molecule: ribosomal RNA, 582 nt
Filed under: uncultured Pantoea sp.
Lineage: Bacteria; Pseudomonadati; Pseudomonadota; Gammaproteobacteria; Enterobacterales; Erwiniaceae
Description: bacterial SSU rRNA
Rfam family: Bacterial small subunit ribosomal RNA
Source: RNAcentral
ACGGGUGAGUAAUGUCUGGGGAUCUGCCCGAUAGAGGGGGAUAACCACUGGAAACGGUGGCUAAUACCGCAUAACGUCGCAAGACCAAAGAGGGGGACCUUCGGGCCUCUCACUAUCGGUUGAACCCAGAUGGGAUUAGUUAGUAGGCGGGGUAAUGGCCCACCUAGGCGACGAUCCCUAGCUGGUCUGAGAGGAUGACCAGCCACACUGGAACUGAGACACGGUCCAGACUCCUACGGGAGGCAGCAGUGGGGAAUAUUGCACAAUGGGCGCAAGCCUGAUGCAGCCAUGCCGCGUGUAUGAAGAAGGCCUUCGGGUUGUAAAGUACUUUCAGCGGGGAGGAAGGCGAUGCGGUUAAUAACCGCGUCGAUUGACGUUACCCGCAGAAGAAGCACCGGCUAACUCCGUGCCAGCAGCCGCGGUAAUACGGAGGGUGCAAGCGUUAAUCGGAAUUACUGGGCGUAAAGCGCACGCAGGCGGUCUGUUAAGUCAGAUGUGAAAUCCCCGGGCUUAACCUGGGAACUGCAUUUGAAACUGGCAGGCUUGAGUCUUGUAGAGGGGGGUAGAAUUCCAGGUGUAGCG